UACGUAGGGUGCGAGCGUUGUCCGGAAUUACUGGGCGUAAAGAGCUCGUAGGUGGUUUGUCGCGUCGUGCGUGAAAGACCCCGGCUCAACUGGGGGGUGUCGUGCGAUACGGGCGGACUGGAGGCCAGUAGGGGGAUGCGGAAUUCCGGGUGUAGUGGUGGAAUGCGUAGAGAUCCGGAGGAACACCAGCGGCGAAGGCGGCAUCCUGGACUGGUCCUGACACUCAUGAGCGAAAGCGUGGGGAGCGAUCCGG
This 253-nucleotide ribosomal RNA is filed under the name uncultured bacterium. RNAcentral's name for it is "partial 16S ribosomal RNA". It matches the Rfam family "Bacterial small subunit ribosomal RNA", at positions 524 to 776 of the family's 1533-position model. The record is from RNAcentral.